AGGAGAAAGAAAUAAUAAUCCCUUGGGAUUGAGAUUCCAACACUAUGCUGGUAAAGUCACCACCUUAGCCAAAAUCUCCAAGCAUCGAGGAAGGCAUGUUUAACAACACAGGUGAAUACCAACUGUGUGCACGCGUGUGUAUAUAUAUAGUGUAGUUUUGGAAAAGUAAUUCCUUGUUCCAAACAUGAAAUUCAUUCAUUUAAAAUAAAGUUUAUAUAUAGGAUUAAGAGACCAAACAUGAGAAUUUAUUUUUAAAUGAAAGGAAUUUUAUGUUUAUUUGUUUUAAACUUAUUAGGUUAUAAAGUGGCUUGUCUUGAAGUGUGAUAUGUUCAAAGAAAUUUUGCUGAGUAAACAUCGAAUGUGCCAAGAGAUAACACUAAUGAAACUAUUAGCAUGUGAUUACUAAUUUACUAUGACAUUAAGUGAAAAUUGGUGUAUGCAGAAGGUAAAUUAAACUUGCUGAAAGUGCUUUUUUGUGAAUCUUUUGACCCUUAGGUCAGAACGAGGGAGGGAAAGAAAAGGAAGGAAAGAAACCUAAAAAUAGACCCUGGAGGAUAUAAACUACAUUCCCCCUUCCCAUCACAUUAAAGUGUUCGUUCUCACUUGUACUUUUGUGUGGCCUUGAAACAUUGACAGGAGGAUUGAGUCAUUUUUAUGGCUUGCCAUACACUUCCUCUCUCUUCUAAAUAAAUAUUUGUUUUGUAUUGUUUGCUAUUUUUAUGUAUUAUAUUCAUGUGAACUAUUAUCAUUUGUGUACCUGCACUCUAUGUGUGGGUACGAUAUGCCAUACAGUGAUGUUUGAGAUGCUACAUUCCUACGUUUCUGCAAGAACUGUAUUGUGUCUGCAACAACAUUAUCAUUGUGCACAUGCAUACUUGUAUUGUUUAUUACAUUGGGAGCCUAUACUCUUAUAUUUUUUCAAUUGUCUCCAGAUUGAUAGAAGUGGAAAGAUA
Molecule: unclassified non-coding RNA, 953 nt
Filed under: Hevea brasiliensis (rubber tree)
Lineage: Eukaryota; Viridiplantae; Streptophyta; Magnoliopsida; Malpighiales; Euphorbiaceae
Source: RNAcentral